RNAcentral lists this long non-coding RNA (1686 nucleotides) under Vombatus ursinus (common wombat). RNAcentral's name for it is "lncRNA (ENSVURG00010021396.1)". The record is from RNAcentral. Lineage: Eukaryota; Metazoa; Chordata; Mammalia; Diprotodontia; Vombatidae.
GAAGAGGUGCUGAGUUGGAGUUUGGUCUUCCUGCCUUGGACGUGAUCAAAGCUGUCCCUCUCCCGGUCCGCUCUGUGAGCCUGGCACUUUCCCCAUCGGGUGGUGGUGAGGACCAUCUGAGAUCACCAAUGAGUAUGUUCUGCAAAGGCCUCUGGGGACUCUCUGGGGGCUCCGAAGGAGUGCUGCCCCUUCCCUUUGAGCCUGAGCAGUCAGCAGUCCACCUUCUAGGCUGUUGGAGGAAGGAAGGGAGGAGCCUGUCCUAGCAUACAGAGCAGAUAAGGAGGGCUCUGCCAAGGGUGGGGCUGGCGGUGAUGACUCCUGUGACACCACUGAGGGCGUUUUCUGUAAUGAGGGGUGAUCUCAGGGUGUGCGUAGCUGUUCUCAGUCAUACCUGAAAUUUUGCCGUGUGGUACCACUCUGGGAGACAGACCCUGGCCUAGAUGAAGUUUGGGGCUGACUCAAUGAUGCUUUCCUGACAUGACUCCCAUGCUGGCCAAGCAGCCGGAAUCUUCCAUUGAGGGAAGGCUAAAGGAGGCCAAGUCUCUGCGUGUUGUGUGUGACCUGUAGUAGUCACCUCCUUGUGGGUGAGGAUCAGCGUCAGGAUAACAACCUCCAUGAAAACCAUCCCAAGGAGACCUCUCAGGACUGACGUAGGCUCCAGAGGAAGCCUCAGCCAUCCAGAAUCCUUCCUAGUGCGUUCACUUCAGAGGCCUUCACCACCAGUUGCUGCAUGACUACAAUGUUCCAUGUUGUCUCUGGAGGUUCAGAUGGCAGAGCUUAUGGAGAUCCACGACUCAGCGAGGAACAAAACUCAUGGAUACCAGAGACAUUCUGAAAGCCGUCCCAAACAGAGAGGGUCACAGACCAUUCAGCCAGCGUUGGCCCAGAGUUUGAAUCCUGCCUCAGACACUUGCUUAGCUAUGGAAACCAAGGCAAGUCACUCAACCUCUAUCUGCCUCAGUUUUCUCAUCUGCAAAAUGAGGAGAAUAAUAGCACCUUUCUCCCAGGCUUGUUUUAAGGAUCAGGCAAGAUAACACGCACAAAGUGCUUAAAUGAGGCUGUUAUGAUUGUUACAGUUAUUGUAGUCAUUGUUCUUUGUCCUUAAAUCUGGGGUCAUGAUGCCACCAAGAGUGGGACAAAGGCCAACCUUCGAAGAACAUAUACUUACUGUAGCUUCACACUUCAGUCCAUUGGGUUAGUGGAAACGCAGAGGUAGCAUGGGACAGUGAUGGGGGCACCACAGGACCAGAGCCAGCAGCCGACUCCGCCAUGUCCCGUGUGACUGAGCCCUGAUGUCUUCAUCUGCAAAAUGGCACCAGCUCCUCCUAGGGCUUAUGGAUGUGAGGCUGGUGCGUGAGGUUCACGGACGUGAAAAGUGCUUUGUCAUGGAAAAAGAACCAACGAGACUGUGAUUUAGUCAGUGACAGCCGUCUCAUUGCCUCCAGAUCUCCUCCUCCAAUAAGCUAGUCGGCUUCACCCCUUCAUCCUGUUUUUCUUUUUCACCAAACUGUCAAUGAACUGGGUAAAAACCAAAAUCCUGGGUCUUGGCUACCAAGAGUGUUGGUCCUGGUUUGUUUUGCAAGUGUACACACUUCUAACAAAUCAUUUAUCUGGAUGAUUCAUGGGUUUAUUAGUUAACUGUAACAGGGUUAUUUGUUUAAAAUUCAUUAAUAAAAAUAAUGCCAC